GCGUAAGGGCUCGCAGGCGGUUUCUUAAGUCUGAUGUGAAAGCCCCCGGCUCAACCGGGGAGGGUCAUUGGAAACUGGGAAACUUGAGUGCAGAAGAGGAGAGUGGAAUUCCACGUGUAGCGGUGAAAUGCGUAGAGAUGUGGAGGAACACCAGUGGCGAAGGCGACUCUCUGGUCUGUAACUGACGCUGAGGAGCGAAAGCGUGGGGAGCGAACAGGAUUAGAUACCCUGGUAGUCCACGCCGUAAACGAUGAGUGCUAAGUGUUAGGGGGUUUCCGCCCCUUAGUGCUGCAGCUAACGCAUUAAGCACUCCGCCUGGGGAGUACGGUCGCAAGACUGAAACUCAAAGGAAUUGACGGGGGCCCGCACAAGCGGUGGAGCAUGUGGUUUAAUUCGAAGCAACGCGAAGAACCUUACCAGGUCUUGACAUCCUCUGACAACCCUAGAGAUAGGGCUUUCCCUUCGGGGACAGAGUGACAGGUGGUGCAUGGUUGUCGUCAGCUCGUGUCGUGAGAUGUUGGGUUAAGUCCCGCAACGAGCGCAACCCUUGAUCUUAGUUGCCAGCAUUUAGUUGGGCACUCUAAGGUGACUGCCGGUGACAAACCGGAGGAAGGUGGGGAUGACGUCAAAUCAUCAUGCCCCUUAUGACCUGGGCUACACACGUGCUA
This 668-nucleotide ribosomal RNA is filed under the name Bacillus subtilis. RNAcentral's name for it is "bacterial SSU rRNA". It matches the Rfam family "Bacterial small subunit ribosomal RNA", at positions 558 to 1227 of the family's 1533-position model. Lineage: Bacteria; Bacillati; Bacillota; Bacilli; Caryophanales; Bacillaceae. The record is from RNAcentral.